GUGGAGAGGGCCAAUGGGCUGGCUGCCAACCUGGACAAGAAGCAGAGGAACUUUGACAAGGUGUUGGCAGAGUGGAAACAGAAGUACGAGGAGGGUCAGGCAGAGCUUGAGGGAGCACAG
Molecule: long non-coding RNA, 120 nt
Organism: Etheostoma cragini (Arkansas darter)
Lineage: Eukaryota; Metazoa; Chordata; Actinopteri; Perciformes; Percidae
Exons: 2
Source: RefSeq, a predicted model, not a curated record